This 72-nucleotide transfer RNA is filed under the name Candidatus Vogelbacteria bacterium CG10_big_fil_rev_8_21_14_0_10_45_14. Its description in RNAcentral is "tRNA-Arg". It matches the Rfam family "tRNA". From Rfam's summary of the family: Transfer RNA (tRNA) molecules are approximately 80 nucleotides in length. Their secondary structure includes four short double-helical elements and three loops (D, anti-codon, and T loops). Lineage: Bacteria; Candidatus Vogeliibacteriota. The record is from RNAcentral.
GCUCUCGUCGUUCAACGGAUAGGACACAGCCUUGCGGAGGCUGUAAUCGUGGUUCGAUUCCACGCGAGAGCA